AACUUCUUGUAUCAACAAGUCUGUUUUGUGUCUAUCCACGCAUCAGAGCAGAACCAUGUCAAAGUUUCUCUUGUAUAGCACUUCUUCAUCCAAAAAGAAGUUAUUAGCCAAUCUUCUCAAGGUCUUCUUAUCUUUGCUUGAUGCCCCAGGUGGGUAUUCUUGACUCUGGAGAUAACAUUUGAUGUCAUGGUACCACAGUUUGUCAUCAGGGACUUCUUCCAUUGCAAAUACAUGAGCAGGUCUAUCAAGACGCAUAACAUCGAUCUUAGGCACAUCAUUCCAAC
RNAcentral lists this long non-coding RNA (284 nucleotides) under Lathyrus oleraceus (garden pea). Its description in RNAcentral is "Pisum sativum (pea) long non-coding RNA (PSAT_LNC002699)". Lineage: Eukaryota; Viridiplantae; Streptophyta; Magnoliopsida; Fabales; Fabaceae. The record is from RNAcentral.